GGUCCCCCUAUUGAAACCAGAUGACGAUGAAGAAGAAAUGCUGUAAUGCUAAACAUUGGUGGAGACACUGGUCUUAAUGUAUUUCCCAAAUAAAUUUGUCCGUCAGUAAAAUACUCCAAGGGAUUUGUAGACCAUUGUCUCGGUGUGUUUUGGUCAUCAUUAACACUAGUCUUGUUAUUGUUGUUAUCGCUCAUACCACCAGUCAAUAGCUCCGUAAAUGAUGAGCUAGGGUGCAUAUUUCGGUGAUGAUUAGCAACUUUC
This 261-nucleotide unclassified non-coding RNA is filed under the name Hevea brasiliensis (rubber tree). Lineage: Eukaryota; Viridiplantae; Streptophyta; Magnoliopsida; Malpighiales; Euphorbiaceae. The record is from RNAcentral.